Molecule: ribosomal RNA, 253 nt
Filed under: uncultured bacterium
Lineage: Bacteria
Description: partial 16S ribosomal RNA
Rfam family: Bacterial small subunit ribosomal RNA
Source: RNAcentral
UACGUAGGGGGCAAGCGUUGUCCGGAUUUAUUGGGCGUAAAGAGCGUGUAGGCGGCUUGGUAGGUCCGCUGUGAAAACUCGAGGCUCAACCUCGAGAUGUCGGCGGAAACCACUUGGCUAGAGUCCGGAAGAGGAGAGUGGAAUUCCUGGUGUAGCGGUGAAAUGCGCAGAUAUCAGGAGGAACACCUAUGGCGAAGGCAGCUCGCUGGGACGGUAUUGACGCUGAGACGCGAAAGCGUGGGGAGCGAACAGG